Molecule: ribosomal RNA, 253 nt
Filed under: uncultured bacterium
Lineage: Bacteria
Description: partial 16S ribosomal RNA
Rfam family: Bacterial small subunit ribosomal RNA
Source: RNAcentral
UACGUAGGGGGCAAGCGUUGUCCGGAAUCAUUGGGCGUAAAGAGCGUGUAGGCGGCCAGAUAAGUCCGCUGUGAAAUCUCGAGGCUCAACUUCGAGCUGUCGGUGGAAACUGUCUGGCUAGAGUCCGGAAGAGGAGAGUGGAAUUCCCGGUGUAGCGGUGAAAUGCGCAGAUAUCGGGAAGAACACCCGUGGCGAAGGCGGCUCUCUGGGACGGUACUGACGCUGAGACGCGAAAGCGUGGGGAGCGAACAGG